CGUAAGCGCACGCAGCGGUCUGUCAAGUCGGAUGUGAAAUCCCCGGGCUCAGGGGAAACUGCAUUCGAACUGGCAGGCUGGAGUCUUGUAGAGGGGGGUAGAAUUCCAGGUGUAGCGGUGAAAUGCGUAGAGAUCUGGAGGAAUACCGGUGGCGAAGGCGGCCCCCUGGACAAAGACUGACGCUCAGGUGCGAAAGCGUGGGGAGCAAACAGGAUUAGAUACCCUGGUAGUCCACGCUGUAAACGAUGUCGACUUGGAGGUUGUUCCCUUGAGGAGUGGCUUCCGGAGCUAACGCGUUAAGUCGACCGCCUGGGGAGUACGGCCGCAAGGUUAAAACUCAAAGGAAUUGACGGACGG
RNAcentral lists this ribosomal RNA (357 nucleotides) under uncultured bacterium. RNAcentral describes it as "bacterial SSU rRNA". It matches the Rfam family "Bacterial small subunit ribosomal RNA", at positions 559 to 920 of the family's 1533-position model. The record is from RNAcentral.